CAAACUCUCCAGGGAAUGUUCAGGGCACAUUUCUGACCUUUUGAAUUGAGGUCGCAGAAUGAAAAUGCCAUUGUUUGUCACAAAAUGUCCUUUGUCAUUGCUGUAAAUGCCUGGGGAAUCAAAGAUCUAAAUCAGAGGGUGCUUUCUUACGCUCUGUGAUUCUGUGCAAGAGGCCUUCAGCAGGGCUGGACUUCCCUCCCAGAAGGGGAGUUUGGUGCUCAGUGGAUCCUGUCAGGUGAGAAGCCGAGACCCAGCAGAUGUGUGUGCGCACAGCGGAACCAGGUACAAGAGGAUCUGAAGCUGGACUUACCUGGAGUCCUGGAACAUGGUGAUCCCAUCUCCACUGGACCUGAGUCAGAAGCCUGCUCUAGAGGAAGCAGGAAGUACAUCUGGUUUUGGUUGGAGACGUUGCAUCCAUUCUAAUAAAGCCAAGAGUCAAACUGAAAUACUGGCUCAGGCUGAGAGGAUAUUCUGCCGUUGUAGUUUUGCUCGGGGCCAUUCGUUUUAAGAAGACUGGAGAGUCAGUUCCAGUUUGUCUUGGGGGACUAAGUUCUUAUCAUGUGGUUUCUACUGGUGGCUUAUUGAGAACACAUGCAGGUACAGCCACGUUUGGGUUUUAUUCCGUGCGGGAUUUCACAAAUGGAAGCUAUGGGUUCCUGGUCUAUUUAUUUUACUCCACAGACAUUUAAGGGGACCCGCUGGGUGCUAGAUGAGUGCGUAGGUACAGAGACAGAAAAAGACGAUGUGAGACCACGUCCAGCCAGUGAGUCUGGAGCAGAAAGUCUGUGGUAGGGGCCAGACAGUUGGAGCCAGUUGGUACUAGACCCUAGCACUAGGCUGGGCGUUGGAGCAUCGGUCUCUGGCACUGAGGUUUGGAGAUGCUGAGUGAGUUCUGGGGGUCAGCCUGCGGCCCCCAGCCCCCAGCAGUGGCUCAUGUCGGAGUCCCGGAGGAACGAAUACCACCCCACUGUCACUUCUUCAGAGGCGAAAGGGGAAGGGCCGGGAUUUGGAAUGAAAAAUGAAAGUUCUUGCCCCACGAAAUGGAAACCGUAGCAGCUGUUUUCAAUUUCCUGCCUAGUAGGCGACAUGCCCACUCCCUCCCUCGGUCUCAUAAACACCUUUCUUUAGAAUUUGGAAACACAGAGGGUGGGGGAAAGGCCA
RNAcentral lists this long non-coding RNA (1161 nucleotides) under Homo sapiens (human). RNAcentral's name for it is "HSALNT0234722". Lineage: Eukaryota; Metazoa; Chordata; Mammalia; Primates; Hominidae. The record is from RNAcentral.